RNAcentral lists this ribosomal RNA (191 nucleotides) under uncultured bacterium. RNAcentral's name for it is "partial 16S ribosomal RNA". It matches the Rfam family "Bacterial small subunit ribosomal RNA", at positions 337 to 524 of the family's 1533-position model. The record is from RNAcentral.
UCCUACGGGAGGCAGCAGUGAGGAAUCUUGGACAAUGGGGGAAACCCUGAUCCAGCGACGCCGCGUGAAGGAUGAAGGUCUUCGGAUUGUAAACUUCUUUUAUCUGGGAAUAAGAAACCCGUGGAAACACGGGGAGUGAAGGUACCAGAUGAAUAAGCCACGGCUAACUUCGUGCCAGCAGCCGCGGUAAU